CUGCCCGUAGCUCAGUUGGAUUAGAGCAACAGCCUUCUAAGCUGUGGGUCGCAAGUUCGAGUCUUGCCGGGCAGGCCA
RNAcentral lists this transfer RNA (78 nucleotides) under Methylophilales phage Melnitz EXVC044M. RNAcentral describes it as "tRNA-Arg". It matches the Rfam family "tRNA". From Rfam's summary of the family: Transfer RNA (tRNA) molecules are approximately 80 nucleotides in length. Lineage: Duplodnaviria; Heunggongvirae; Uroviricota; Caudoviricetes; Pantevenvirales; Kyanoviridae. The record is from RNAcentral. RNAcentral also lists the same sequence under 3 other names.